Rattus rattus (black rat) is the source of this 459-nucleotide non-coding RNA. Lineage: Eukaryota; Metazoa; Chordata; Mammalia; Rodentia; Muridae. The record is from the annotation of a RefSeq genome assembly.
AUGAAACCCUUGAGUGUUUCACUAGUGGUCCUGUGGCUCCAGCUCAAUGGGGUGAGCAGUCAGCAGAAGGUGCAGCAGAGCCCAGAAUCCCUCAUUGUCUCAGAGGGAGCCAAAGCCUCUCUCAACUGCACUUUCAGUGAUAGUACCUCUGAUUCUUUCUGGUGGUACAGACAGCAUUCUGGGAAAGGCCCCAAGGUGCUGAUUUCCAUCGUCUCCAAUGGUGACAAGCAAGAAGGCAGAUUCACAGCUCACCUCAAUAAAGCCAGCCUGCAUCUUUCCCUGCACAUCAAUGACCCUCAACCCAGUGACUCUGCUGUCUACCUCUGUGCAGUGAGUGCACAGUGCUCUCCAGCCACCUGCAGCCUGCACACAAACCUACUGUGCCCAAAAGACCUGAGACAGAGCACACACUACCCAGUGGAGACAUUCUGCUUCUAUUCUGUAUGCGAUGAGAAUUAA